UCCGUAGGUGAAACUGCGGAAGGAUCAUUA
This 30-nucleotide ribosomal RNA is filed under the name Glomus sp. R22.3. RNAcentral's name for it is "partial 18S ribosomal RNA". Lineage: Eukaryota; Fungi; Glomeromycota; Glomeromycetes; Glomerales; Glomeraceae. The record is from RNAcentral. RNAcentral also lists the same sequence under 1 other name.